Molecule: ribosomal RNA, 892 nt
Filed under: uncultured bacterium
Lineage: Bacteria
Description: bacterial SSU rRNA
Rfam family: Bacterial small subunit ribosomal RNA
Source: RNAcentral
AGAGUUUGAUCAUGGCUCAGGAUGAAUGCUGGCGGCGUGCCUAAGGCAUGCAAGUCGAACGAAUCAUUUUUUGUAGCAAUACUUGAAAUGGUUAGUGGCAAACGGGUGCGUAACACAUUGGUACUUGCCUCGUAGUCGGGCAUAACGUUCCGAAAGGGACGCUAAUUCCACGAUGGUCUCGCAAGAGUAAAGUCGCAAGACGCUACGAGAGAGGCCUAUGGCCUAUCAGCUAGUUGGUGAGGUAAUGGCUCACCAAGGCUAUGACGGGUAGGGGGUGUGAGAGCACGACCCCCCUCACUGGGACUGAGACACUGCCCAGACACCUACGGGUGGCUGCAGUCUGGAAUAUUCGGCAAUGGGCGAAAGCCUGACCGAGCGACGCCGCGUGCAGGAAUAAGGGCUUCGGUCCGUAAACUGCUUUUGUCAGGGACGAAUCAUGACGGUACCUGAAGAAUAAGAGGUUGCUAACUCUGUGCCAGCAGCAGCGGUAAUACAGAGACCUCAAGCAUUAUCCGGAUUUAUUGGGCGUAAAGGGUCCGCAGGUGGCUUUUCACGUCGUUGGUUAAAUGUUGGGGCUCAACUCUAACACCGCCAACGAUACGGAUCAGCUAGAGCAUGGGAGAGGUACGCGGAAUUACAGGUGUAGUAGUAAAAUGCGUUAAUAUCUGUAAGAACACCAAAUGCGAAGGCAGCGUACUGGAAACAUUGCUGACACUCAGGGACGAAAGCGUGGGGAGCGAAAGGGAUUAGAUACCCCUGUAGUCCACGCCCUAAACGAUGGAUGCUAGAUUUCGGGAGUAUCGACCCUCCCGGAGUCGGUUAAAAUAGCUAACGCAUUAAGCAUCCCGCCUGGGGAGUACGGUCGCAAGACUAAACUCAAAGGAAUUGACGG